ACCUGGUUGGCUGAGUAGGUGGAGCGUGGGACCCUUGAUCUUGGGGUUGUGGGUUUGAGCCCCACAUUGGGCA
This 73-nucleotide transfer RNA is filed under the name Felis catus (domestic cat). It matches the Rfam family "tRNA". From Rfam's summary of the family: Transfer RNA (tRNA) molecules are approximately 80 nucleotides in length. The record is from Rfam by way of RNAcentral. Lineage: Eukaryota; Metazoa; Chordata; Mammalia; Carnivora; Felidae.